AUCUGAACCUUCGGGGAACGAUAACGGCGUCGAGCGGCGGACGGGUGAGUAAUGGCUAGGAUAUUGCCCUGAUGUGGGGGAUAACCAUUGGAAACGAUGGCUAAUACCGCAUGAUGCCUACGGGCCAAAGAGGGGGACCUUCGGGCCUCUCGCGUCAGGAUAUGCCUAGGUGGGAUUAGCUAGUUGGUGAGGUAAGGGCUCACCAAGGCGACGAUCCCUAGCUGGUCUGAGAGGAUGAUCAGCCACACUGGAACUGAGACACGGUCCAGACUCCUACGGGAGGCAGCAGUGGGGAAUAUUGCACAAUGGGCGCAAGCCUGAUGCAGCCAUGCCGCGUGUAUGAAGAAGGCCUUCGGGUUGUAAAGCACUUUCAGUCGUGAGGAAGGUGGUGUCGUUAAUAGCGGCAUUAUAUGACGUUAGCGACAGAAGAAGCACCGGCUAACUCCGUGCCAGCAGCCGCGGUAAUACGGAGGGUGCGAGCGUUAAUCGGAAAUACUGGGCGUAAAGCGCAUGCAGGUGGUUUGUUAAGUCAGAUGU
This 537-nucleotide ribosomal RNA is filed under the name Vibrio alginolyticus. Its description in RNAcentral is "bacterial SSU rRNA". It matches the Rfam family "Bacterial small subunit ribosomal RNA", at positions 65 to 595 of the family's 1533-position model. Lineage: Bacteria; Pseudomonadati; Pseudomonadota; Gammaproteobacteria; Vibrionales; Vibrionaceae. The record is from RNAcentral.